CUACUAACCUUGAUGAUGUUUUUGGAUCUUUCGAUCCUUCUCUGUUGUCUCCAUUGCAGGGGAUGUCAUUAAAAUCUUCAACACCGACCCAAUUGCAAUCUCCUACUGGACUUCAGAUUCGCCAAAAUAUGAAUCAAUCUCGUUCAAGCUACCCGGCUAAUCUCUCCUCCACUUCUGUGAGGAAACCUGCGUCAUAUGGGUUUGAUUCAUCUGCUGCAGU
RNAcentral lists this unclassified non-coding RNA (220 nucleotides) under Hevea brasiliensis (rubber tree). Lineage: Eukaryota; Viridiplantae; Streptophyta; Magnoliopsida; Malpighiales; Euphorbiaceae. The record is from RNAcentral.